Molecule: long non-coding RNA, 2478 nt
Organism: Spinacia oleracea (spinach)
Lineage: Eukaryota; Viridiplantae; Streptophyta; Magnoliopsida; Caryophyllales; Amaranthaceae
Exons: 2
Source: RefSeq, a predicted model, not a curated record
AAACCAAACAUAUCUCUCACUCUCUCUCUCUCUCUCUUAACAUUUUCAAAAGAUCGAUAUAACAUGUGUUUUUGAUAACUGACAAGUCUAGUUUGCAAAUAAAGGUUAUGUGUUCAUCUACAUGUUUGUUUACAGUCGAUCUCGAUCUUCACAUGUAACUUGGCAGAGACCGGGUUGAUGUAAUUAAUUUGUCUUCUGACCAUCUGAAAAAUGAAAAUGAGAGCUUUCCAUAUACUUACACACUUUCCAUAUAUACCAACUAUGAUGUACGCACACACUUUCCACUUAUGGAAUUUUAUUUUACUACUACCUACCUACCUACCUACCUAGCUAGUAGCUCCAACUACACUACAAAUUUUUAUAUCAAGUACUACCUCCGUUUCAGAAAGUUCUUUACGCUUUGAAAAAUGUGUCCAAAGUAUAAAACUUUGACCGUAAAUUCUCACCAUUAUAUACAUCAAAACGUUACAUGUAAGAUCUUGUUAAAUUGAUCUCGGAAUGUAUUUUCAGAAUAUCAAAUUUUUAUAAUUUUUUCUCAUACGAAAUUGGAUAUAUUAGUAGUUAAAUAUUGCAUUGGAGUACGUGCAAAUAGUAACUGUAAAGAUCUUUUUGAAACGGAGCUAGUAUAAUUAAGGUUUUACGGAGAUCAAUCCCUUGCAAUGUGCGAAGUAUAUAUCUGAUACAUGCAUGUCAAUAAUUAAAAGAUGAUUAUAAAUGCAAAAAAUUUCUUAUGAUCUUAUGUACAAUUGUACGUUACUAUUUUAGCAACAAUUUGUCCACUAGGUUAGACCUAAGGUGUCAUUUCGACUAUCAAACUAAUUAGAAUUAACUAGCUAGCAGUGCCGAUCUACUAGUCUUUAAUUUGUACAUGUAGCUAGUUAUCUACUAGUCUAUUGUAACCUAGCUACGGAGUAAAAGAUUUUUAUUACAACGUAAACUCGAUCAAUUAUUAAUAACAAACCAUUGUACGUAUAUAACUAACACACAAUCUAACAAUUAACUUCCCCAAUUAAGAGUCGGUCAUGGUUGACUUUUACAUCUAUCCAGUGCUAAACAAGCAUGUAAGAAUCACAUACAAUAUACUAAAGAGAAAUUAACAAAGGAAGUACAAGUUAUUGUUCGUGUCGUACUUUUCAUGUUUCUUGUUACAUCACUACAAAAUAAUUAAUCACCUUAUAGAAGUACAAGUAAUUGUUCGUGUCGUACUUUUCAUGAUCCUUGUUACAUCACCACAAAAUACUCACCUUAUAUAGACGAGGAAUUUCGUUCCUAUAAAGGUCGUCUCAAAAUAUUUGAGACGGAAUUUUGGCAAGUCAAUUACAAAUUUGAAACAAAAAUUUUGGAACUUCAUAUACAAUCCCAUUUCAAAUUUUAUUUAAUGACAAAAGUUUUAUACAUACUUUGAGAUGCUUAUAGUAUCCAAUAUUCCACCUCUAAUGACGCAUAAUUUUAAGGUGCAUGCAUGCCAAAAACAUGCGUCCCACCGGAGCGACAAAAGAGUUGUCAGAGAGAGCGAAAACACCAAACCGCAUACGGAGUACCAAGAGCUUUUAUUAAGGGUAUGUUUGUUUCAACUUAUUUUGACUUAUUUCAUAAAAAAUAAGUUCAGAUAACAAAAAUAGUUUUUUUUUUCCAGACAAUUCAACAUACAAUUAAGUUCUUAUCACAAAAAAUAAGUUCAAAUAAAUCAGUUUCAGUCAAGUUUAACUGAACCAAACAGAACUUAAAGCAUACAAAUAUACUUGGUACAAUCUACCGGUCCAUGCCCAUGGGAAUGUGGCCACCUGCUAGUCCACAAUCCACAUUCCUUCCACAGUUCUACCUACAACUCUACAAGGAUACAAGUCUACAAAAUCUUGCCAACCAUUUUCGUCAUUAUAAAUAAGGCCUCGUUUCUUUACUAAGGCCCAAUAGACAAACUCGAAAUUCAACAUUUUGGUCUACAAGAUAUCAGAUAUGCCACCUCCUGGGCAAGGCCACAGCCAUGACCCACCAAUGCCGCCACCGCGAUAUCCAUCACCACCAGGACUUUCUGGUCCACCACCGCCUGCACCAUUCUAUCCAACACCACCACCCCCAGGCCCUCCUCAACCGCCAGGCCCAGUCCAUACUCCACCACUGUCUGGACCACCACCACCAGGCCCAAUUUACCAUUCAGGCCCAUCAGUUCCUCCUCCUCCAGGGCCUCCACCGCCUUUCGGCCCACCAGGCGCACAUCCCCCUCCUUGAGUUCAUGAGAGCAUAUAAUUGCACUACUGCAAUAGCUAGUAAUGUUUGUACUUAGCUUGGAGUGUUGCACGCGAGUAUAAAUAAAUCUUAAGCUAAAGUAUGGCUGGCUGAUGAGCUAUGAAUCUAUGAUAUGUUGAAAUUGAAAAGCUAUGGGUUAAUGAUACUUGGUAUAGUUCAAGUAUGUAAUGUGCAAUCCCCUUGUCUGUUUUUACCCUUUUGUGUUGUAUAAUAUGAACAACAAUUUGUCUG